GAUGAACGCUGGCGGCGUGCUUAACACAUGCAAGUCGAACGGAAAGGCUCCUGCUUGCAGGGGUACUCGAGUGGCGAACGGGUGAGUAACACGUGGGUGACCUGCCCUGCACUUCGGGAUAAGCCUGGGAAACUGGGUCUAAUACCGGAUAGGACCACAUUUUGGAUGGUGUGGUGGAAAGUUUUUCGGUGUGGGAUGAGCUCGCGGCCUAUCAGCUUGUUGGUGGGGUAAUGGCCUACCAAGGCGUCGACGGGUAGCCGGCCUGAGAGGGUGUACGGCCACAUUAGGACUGAGAUACGGCCCAGGCUCCUACGGGAGGCAGCAGUGGGGAAUAUUGCACAAUGGGCGCAAGCCUGAUGCAGCGACGCCGCGUGGGGGAUGACGGCCUUCGGGUUGUAAACUCCUUUCGCUAGGGACGAAGCGCAAGUGACGGUACCUGGAGAAGAAGCACCGGCUAACUACGUG
This 465-nucleotide ribosomal RNA is filed under the name uncultured bacterium. RNAcentral's name for it is "partial 16S ribosomal RNA". It matches the Rfam family "Bacterial small subunit ribosomal RNA", at positions 28 to 507 of the family's 1533-position model. The record is from RNAcentral.